GACAGAGGGUGCAAACGUUGUUCGGAAUUACUGGGCGUAAAGCGCGUGUAGGCUGCUUCGCAAGUCGGAUGUGAAAGCCCUGGGCUCAACCCAGGAAGUGCAUUCGAAACUGCAGAGCUGGAGUCCUGGAGAGGAAGGCGGAAUUCUCGGUGUAGAGGUGAAAUUCGUAGAUAUCGAGAGGAACACCGGUGGCGAAGGCGGCCUUCUGGACAGUGACUGACGCUGAGACGCGAAAGCGCGGGGAGCAAACAGG
RNAcentral lists this ribosomal RNA (253 nucleotides) under uncultured bacterium. RNAcentral describes it as "partial 16S ribosomal RNA". It matches the Rfam family "Bacterial small subunit ribosomal RNA", at positions 524 to 776 of the family's 1533-position model. The record is from RNAcentral.